This 2788-nucleotide ribosomal RNA is filed under the name soda lake metagenome. RNAcentral describes it as "bacterial LSU rRNA". The stretch from base 178 to 1908 matches the Rfam family "Bacterial large subunit ribosomal RNA", at positions 15 to 2044 of the family's 2925-position model. The record is from RNAcentral.
UUGAUUUUAUAGCAAUAGACGGAUUAUGGCUGAGUGGUAAAGCGCUUUCUUUGGGAGAAAGAUACCCUAAGUUCGAAUCUUAGUAACCCGAAAAAUAAAUAAUAGCUUAGAAGAAUUAGUAAUAAGCAAUAUUAACUAGAUAUAUAUAAUUUAAAUGUAUAUAAAUAAGUAUACAAAGAAAUUAUUAUGGAGUUUUAGCUAUGUAUUAAAGAGAAAUAUUUAUUAAUAUAAUAUUUUAUAAUAAUAUAAACUCUAAGAGAAAUUAGAUAAUAAACGAAGUGAAUUGAAAUAUCUUAGUAACUUUAGGAAAAUAAAUCAAAAGAGAUUCCAUGAAUAGUGUGAACGAAAAUGGAGAAGUCUAAAAAGUAAAAUGGUAUUUAAACAGUUUGAAUAUUAUGGGGAACCUUCCUCAAAGACUAAAUAUAAUACAUGAGCUAUAGAGUAUAGUACCGUGAGGGAACAAAUUGAAAUAGUUAUUUUAUAAGCAGUUUGAAAUAAAAAACGUACCUUUUGCAUAAUGGGUCACCAAGUUAACAUUAGAUGCGAGUAAAUACGUAGUUAAACCGAGCGUUAAAAUAACGGUAUUAGUAUCUAAAGUUAGACCCGAAGCCUGGUGAUUUUACCAUAAUCAGGAUUAUAAAAGUCCGAACGGAAUAUUGUAGCAAAAAUAUCCGAAGAAUUAUGGUAGGUAUAGUGAAAGACAAUACUGACUAGGAUAGCUGGUUUUCUGCGAAACCUAUAAUAGUAGGCAAUUUAAUAAAACAUCUUAGCAGGUACAGAAUUUAAUCUCAGACAAGACAAAAACUUUUUGUUUUAUAUUGUACAAAUUGGGGGAUCGUGAAGAUUUUAUCAGUGAGUAUGUAGACUCGGAAUGGCAAAGAUGUAUGUUAAAUUAUCAGACAUAGAAUGAUAAGGUUGUAUGUCAAAAGGGAAACAGCCCAGAACAAGAGUUAAGGUUCCUAAAUUAUUAGUUAAGUGAAAUUAAGAGAGUUUCUAUUAAAGUCGACAAGGAGAUAGGCUUAGAAGCAGCCAUAAUUUUAUGACCUCGUAACAGAGCGCUUGUUAAGUUGUAGAAGCAUCGAAAAUUUAACGGAUCUAAACAAUAUACCGAAACCUUGUCCAUAUAAAGUAAAAUUGAAUUUUAAUUAUGUGGGGUAGCAGAACGUUGAAUUAUACUAAGACUUUUAUUUUUUAAAUAAAAGGAACUAUUUUUAUUUAAAAAUUAUUUUAAAUAAAUUGAAGAAUUAAAUUCAAGUGAGAAUGGUGACAUGAGUAACUAAAAGAAAAAUUUAAUUUUUCCGCCUAAAGCUUAUGGAUGACAUUAAGUAACGGCCUCUAAGUUUAAAAUUAUCUAAAGGUUUAAACGAUGAGAAAUCUUUAUUACUAAGGACAACAUUUUAGUGUAAAAUGUGCUGGAAAAAUAGUAAUAUCAUUAUGAGAAUUAUUAUAUCCUUGGAUAUAAUAAAAUGUACAUAACGAGAACAACCGUACCUAGAUUCUGAAACAAGUAAGCUAGUAGAGAAUACGAAGGCGUAAAUGAGCUAACAAUCAUAAAGGAACUCGGCAAACUAACUACCGUAACUUCGGAAUAAGGAGGGCUCAUUAUUCUUGAUUAAUAUCAAGUAAAAAGGAAGAAGCAUGAAAUAGUGUUGUACGACUGUUUAAUUAAAACACAGCACUUUGCUGAAAGAUUAAAAAUCUAAGUAUAAAGUGUGAGAUCUGCCCGGUGCCGGCUGGUUAACAGAGACAACUAGGUAUACUACUAUCUAAUGUUGACGGAAACCCCGGUUAAAGGCGGCCUUAACGUGAGGGUCCUAAGGUAGCUAAAUGCCUUGGCCGUUAAAUGCGGUCUUGCAUGAAUGGUGUAACGAUACAACAGCUGUCUCUAUGAUUGACUCAGUGAAAUUGGAAUAGCUGUGCAGAUACAGCUUACCUCUAGUUAGACGAGAAGACCCUAUGCAGCUUUACUGUCACUAAUUAUAGAUUAUGUUAAGCAAUUUUCAGAUUAUAAGGUAAUCGAUUUUAGAUAAAUAUGGAAAACCUUUAUUUUCAUUUCAUUUGAAUGAAUUAAUUUAGGAUUAUGAUAGUUUGUAUUAAUAGUAUUUUAUUAUUAAUAUUUAACUUUUUCAUAAUAGUAAAUUAACCUAAUUCAGCUUAUUUAUGUAAUAGUAAGUAAGUACCCUUGGUGAGGAACUAUCGCUAGGAGACAGUUUAUGUGGGGCACAGACCCUGUAAAGAGUAAACAGGAGUGUCUAAAAAUUUAUUUUUAUUAAGUUUGCUAUCUUUAAUAAUUAUUUAAAAUAAUUAUUGUUGAUCGUAUUAAAUUAAAUGUAUUUAUACUAGUUAUACAUAUAUUUAAAAUUAGGUAGGAUUUUUACUACAUAGAAAGUAGAGAUGUUAAAAAUAUUAUGAAUCUUUUCUAAUAUUUUUUCGAUUAUUAUUUAUAAUCUUUGUUAACAUCUAAAAAGCUCAACGGCUAAAUCCUGCCUUACUGUUUGAUUAUCGACAAAUCUUACAGUUGCGUAAGCAGGGCAUAGGAUCACAAGAUGCAAUAAGGAAAGAUCUUGGAUUAUUGGAAAAGCUACGCUAGGGAUGUUUGUCCUAUAAUAUUUUAUAGUAAAUAUAAAAUAAUUAAUAUAAAUUGGGUAAAUUUCAAGAAUUACUGUUUAGUAAACUUGAAGCGAAUUUUAUCUUAACAUAUAAUAAGAUAAAAACGUUCAACGACUAUAGGGUGAGUUUAUAUGUUUUUAGUCAAAAAAAAUUUUCAACAAUAAUCCCUUUUAACUAU